GCCAACACAUUCUUCAACGUGAACAGGGCUGCAACCACAUAUCUCCAUCGGACUCAGUAUCAAGCGUCUCUCUUUAUUUACACCCACCCUCAUUCCAACAAGAAAUGAAGCUUUGGUUUUUCCUUAUUCUCCUUAUGGUUGCCUAUGCCAACGCAUGUAAUACAAGCAAAAGAAUCUAUUGUUUUAAAAAACCAUAUAAUUGCCCCAGUGGGAUGAAAUGCCAACGGACUAUUUUUCCCAGUUAU
This is a long non-coding RNA of Physella acuta, 245 nucleotides long. RefSeq lists it as uncharacterized. NCBI's taxonomy places the organism in Eukaryota, Metazoa, Mollusca, Gastropoda, Physidae. The record is from RefSeq and is a predicted model, not a curated record.